Molecule: non-coding RNA, 95 nt
Organism: Mycena alexandri
Lineage: Eukaryota; Fungi; Basidiomycota; Agaricomycetes; Agaricales; Mycenaceae
Source: the annotation of a GenBank genome assembly
GGUCUGGUGGUGUAGCCGUUACACAUCCUCUACUUAUCCAUGUGGUCAUGAACAAUGUUCUGAGGGAGCCCCUCGUUCGAGUCGGGGUCAGACCA